GACGAACGCUGGCGGCGUGCUUAACACAUGCAAGUCGAGCGGUAAGGCCCUUUCGGGGGUACACGAGCGGCGAACGGGUGAGUAACACGUGGGUGACCUGCCCUCAGCUCUGGGAUAAGCCUGGGAAACCGGGUCUAAUACUGGAUAUGACUCCAUGACGCAUGUUGUGGGGUGGAAAGCCUUGUGCGGCUGAGGAUGGGCCCGCGGCCUAUCAGCUUGUUGGUGGGGUGANGGCCUACCAAGGCGACGACGGGUAGCCGGCCUGAGAGGGCGACCGGCCACACUGGGACUGAGACACGGCCCAGACUCCUACGGGGAGGCAGCAGGUGGGGAAUCUUGCGCAAUGGGCGAAAGCCUGACGCAGCGACGCCGCGUGAGGGAUGA
Molecule: ribosomal RNA, 384 nt
Filed under: uncultured bacterium
Lineage: Bacteria
Description: bacterial SSU rRNA
Rfam family: Bacterial small subunit ribosomal RNA
Source: RNAcentral